Small nuclear RNA from Myotis myotis, 107 nucleotides. The record is from RefSeq and is a predicted model, not a curated record. NCBI's taxonomy places the organism in Eukaryota, Metazoa, Chordata, Mammalia, Chiroptera, Vespertilionidae.
GUGCUCGCUUUGGCAACACAUAUACUGAAGUCAGAACGAUACAGAGAAGAUUAGCAUGGCCCCCGUGCAAGGAUGACACGCAAAUCUGUGAAACAUCCCAUAUUAAA